RNAcentral lists this ribosomal RNA (492 nucleotides) under uncultured bacterium. Its description in RNAcentral is "bacterial SSU rRNA". It matches the Rfam family "Bacterial small subunit ribosomal RNA", at positions 28 to 517 of the family's 1533-position model. The record is from RNAcentral.
GAUGAACGCUAGCGGCAGGCCUAAUACAUGCAAGUCGAGGGGCAGCACGGUAGCAAUACUGGUGGCGACCGGCGCACGGGUGCGUAACGCGUAUGCAACUUACCCUUUACAGGGAGAUAGCCCGGAGAAAUUCGGAUUAAUAUCCCAUAGUAUAUAGAUUUGGCAUCAGAUUUAUAUUAAAGAUUUAUCGGUAAAGGAUGGGCAUGCGUGUCAUUAGCUAGUUGGUGAGGUAAUGGCUCACCAAGGCGACGAUGACUAGGGGUACUGAGAGGUUACACCCCCACACUGGUACUGAGACACGGACCAGACUCCUACGGGAGGCAGCAGUAAGGAAUAUUGGACAAUGGGCGAGAGCCUGAUCCAGCCAUGCCGCGUGCAGGAUGACGGUCCUAUGGAUUGUAAACUGCUUUGUAUGGGAAUAAACCCAGAUACGUGUAUCUGGUUGAAUGUACCAUAAGAAUAAGGAUCGGCUAAACUCCGUGCCAGCAGCCG